AGUGAACGCUGGCGGCGUGCCUAAUACAUGCAAGUCGAACGAUGAAGUCCUAGCUUGCUAGGAUGGAUUAGUGGCGCACGGGUGAGUAAUAUAUAGUUAAUCUGCCCUACACAGAGGAACAACAGUUGGAAACGACUGCUAAUACCUCAUACUCCUAUUUGACAUAAGUUAAAUAGGGAAAGUCUUUUCGGUGUAGGAUGAGACUAUAUCGUAUCAGCUAGUUGGUAAGGUAAUGGCUUACCAAGGCUAUGACGCGUAACUGGUCUGAGAGGAUGAUCAGUCACAUUGGAACUGAGACACGGUCCAAACUCCUACGGGGGGCAGCAGUAAGGAAUAUUGCGCAAUGGGGGAAACCCUGACGCAGCAACGCCGCGUGGAGGAUGACACUUUUCGGAGCGUAAACUCCUUUUAUCAGGAAAGAAUAAUGACGGUACCUGAUGAAUAAGCACCGGCUAACUCCGUG
This 463-nucleotide ribosomal RNA is filed under the name uncultured bacterium. RNAcentral describes it as "partial 16S ribosomal RNA". It matches the Rfam family "Bacterial small subunit ribosomal RNA", at positions 29 to 507 of the family's 1533-position model. The record is from RNAcentral.